GUGCCAGCAGCCGCGGUAAGACGGAGGAUGCAAGUGUUAUCCGGAAUCACUGGGCGUAAAGCGUCUGUAGGUGGUUUAGUAAGUCAACUGUUAAAUCUUGAGGCUUAACUUCAAAAUCGCAGUCGAAACUAUUAGACUAGAGUAUAGUAGAGGUAAAGGGAAUUUCCAGUGGAGCGGUGAAAUGCGUAGAUAUUGGAAAGAACACCGAUGGCGAAAGCACUUUACUGGGCUAUUACUGACACUCAGAGACGAAAGCUAGGGUAGCAAAUGGGAUUAGAUACCCCAGUAGUCCUAGCCGUAAACAAUGGAUACUAGAUGUUGAACAGAUCGACCUGUGCAGUAUUAAAGCUAACGCGUUAAGUAUCCCGCCUGGGAAGUAUGCUCGCAAGAGUGAA
This 395-nucleotide ribosomal RNA is filed under the name uncultured bacterium. RNAcentral describes it as "bacterial SSU rRNA". It matches the Rfam family "Bacterial small subunit ribosomal RNA", at positions 505 to 898 of the family's 1533-position model. The record is from RNAcentral.